Molecule: non-coding RNA, 25 nt
Filed under: Drosophila melanogaster (fruit fly)
Lineage: Eukaryota; Metazoa; Arthropoda; Insecta; Diptera; Drosophilidae
Also listed under: 3 other names
Source: RNAcentral
AACCUGCGGUUGGAUCACCUCCUUA